CUAAUUACCUUGCAGGGGAAACACGCUGAUUGUGAAGGAGGUUUUCCCAGGGUGAAGUUCAUCCAUUGAACUUCGGGUGUGCCGACCCUUGUGAUUUUCCCUAAUGUGGGAAACUCGACUGCAUAAUGGUUUUAGGGAUGUAUUUUCUGCAUCAGUGUGGAUUUCCA
Molecule: small nuclear RNA, 167 nt
Organism: Podarcis muralis (Common wall lizard)
Lineage: Eukaryota; Metazoa; Chordata; Lepidosauria; Squamata; Lacertidae
Gene: U1
Rfam family: U1 spliceosomal RNA
About the family: U1 is a small nuclear RNA (snRNA) component of the spliceosome (involved in pre-mRNA splicing). Its 5' end forms complementary base pairs with the 5' splice junction, thus defining the 5' donor site of an intron. There are significant differences in sequence and secondary structure between metazoan and yeast U1 snRNAs, the latter being much longer (568 nucleotides as compared to 164 nucleotides in human).
Source: Ensembl